GUGGCGGCGUGGCUGUGGGAGCUUCGUCUCCGGCGAAGGUGACGGCAGAGGAGGCUAGGGGAGGGCUCAGGAAGGUGGUGUGAGGGCGGGUUGUGCGAAGGAGGGCUCAGGCGGCUUUGGCGUGGCUCGGGAGGGUGAGCUCAAUGGCGGUGUCAAUGGCGUGCACAUUAGUGGGGAAGAAAUGGCGAGGUGGCUCCGUCGAGCCGGGCUCGGCCCCUUCUAUAGCGGUAGGAUUGCGUGGGCGAGCUGGAGAUCAUCACGAUGAGCUCGCGGCACGGUUGGGCGAGCGGGCGGUGGCCGAGCAGAGGUGGCAGGCCGAGGAGGCACGCAUUGGCCGGCGGUGGCGUGAGCAGCUCGACACGUGCGUGG
Molecule: long non-coding RNA, 369 nt
Filed under: Setaria viridis
Lineage: Eukaryota; Viridiplantae; Streptophyta; Magnoliopsida; Poales; Poaceae
Description: long non-coding RNA (SVIR_LNC008957)
Source: RNAcentral